UUCGUGGUUCAGGCGUGCUGCUUGGGCUGGUGCCAGCUUGAUGCUGCUGCUGCUCAUGCCAUUUGCAUGCGCGCUGGUUGGGAAGCAGAGUAGCGCGUGUGGUGGUGCAGGUUGAUCCUCAAGUAGUGCUUGUUAUCGGGAACAAUGUCGCGGAUACCAUUUCCAAUCUUGUCGCUCAGCACCAGAUACAGAUCCUCGUCGUCGGUGCCAGCAGGGGCUCCUUCAAUAGGACGUCCUCCAAAAUCUGUAAGGGUGUCCCCAGCUUUUUGCACAGCGUAUGUUGUUUCAAAGGAUGAAUCGUCUUCGGUUUACGUUCCGGGAUCAAAGAUUGACGUGACCUCUGGCUCUGGGGUACCGAAAGGAAACUCCAGCAGCUCCAACACCGAAGUAUU
This is a long non-coding RNA of Lolium rigidum, 392 nucleotides long. RefSeq lists it as uncharacterized. The transcript has 3 exons. NCBI's taxonomy places the organism in Eukaryota, Viridiplantae, Streptophyta, Magnoliopsida, Poales, Poaceae. The record is from RefSeq and is a predicted model, not a curated record.